AUUCUGUGGCGCUAAAGUUACAGCCCAUAAAGCUAAAGAUAAAUUGCAGGAAAAUGUGACCUUAUGGAAACCUUUUCCACUGGAAUGAACUUCCCAUUAAAAGAAUCAACCAAUGGAA
Molecule: long non-coding RNA, 118 nt
Organism: Pantherophis guttatus
Lineage: Eukaryota; Metazoa; Chordata; Lepidosauria; Squamata; Colubridae
Source: RefSeq, a predicted model, not a curated record